GAUGAACGCUGGCGGCGUGCCUAAUACAUGCAAGUCGAGCGAACGGACGAGAAGCUUGCUUCUCUGAUGUUAGCGGCGGACGGGUGAGUAACACGUGGAUAACCUACCUAUAAGACUGGGAUAACUUCGGGAAACCGUAGCUAAUACCGGAUAAUAUUUUGAACCGCAUGGUUCAAAAGUGAAAGACGGUCUUGCUGUCACUUAUAGAUGGAUCCGCGCUGCAUUAGCUAGUUGGUAAGGUAACGGCUUACCAAGGCAACGAUGCAUAGCCGACCUGAGAGGGUGAUCAGCCACACUAGAACUGAGACACGGUCCAGACUCCUACGGGAGGCAGCAGUAGGGAAUCUUCCUCAAUGGGCGAAAGCCUGACGGAGCAACGCCGCGUGAGUGAUGAAGGUCUUCGGAUCGUAAAACUCUGUUAUUAAGGAAGAACAUAUGUGUAAGUAACUGUGCACAUCUUGACGGUACCUAAUCAGAAAGCCACGGCUAACUACGUG
Molecule: ribosomal RNA, 497 nt
Filed under: uncultured bacterium
Lineage: Bacteria
Description: partial 16S ribosomal RNA
Rfam family: Bacterial small subunit ribosomal RNA
Source: RNAcentral